ACACGGAUGGGUUGCGCCACCUCUAAGGUGUAAAACCACCAAGGGGCCUCUGGUGGCAAUGAGAAAUGCUGUACAGUAUCUCACAAUGCCGGCCGAGGGGAGAAGCGCAUGCGAAUGCGUUGUUCUCGUGACACGACCGAGGGAGUUUACGGUCCCCGCAGGAAUGACAUUUCCCGGGGACGGCGACCUCAACAAAGAGGAACGGCCCUGGAUAAAACCCGAACAUGUGGCGGCUCUAAAGGCAGCACACGGGGGCCCAAGCUGUACACCUGUGCGCACGCUGUACACCUGUGCGCACCCUGUACACCUGUGUGCACGCUGUACACCUGUGCGUGCCCUGUACACCUGUGCGCGCGCGGUAAAUAAAGCCUGCGACGGAACCACGUUGGCAGAGGUUCACAGCACCGCCCGAUAACACCUCGCCACCUUCGCCAUUGCAUUCCGAACAUCGUCACGGCCAUUGCCGCCACCUCCUAGUCGCCGUUGCUCUGAGUCUACGUCGGCCAUACGGAGGAAGAAGAAGACAUGCUGUUUCAAGUGGCUGUCGUUGUUGUUGUGUUUCUGUGUAAGAGCCUGUGACUGCAUCACCAGCAGGAGGAAGAAGAAGACAUGCUGUUUCAAGUGGCUGUUGUUGUUGUUGUGUGUUCUGUGUAAGAGCCUGUGACUGCAUCACCAGCAGUGCCUCCAAAUCUUGUGAGCCCUCGCAUGACUCGACCCGAAUGGACCUCACUUUUGCGUCUGUUUGUCCUUUUGCCCGUCUUCUAUCUUGUCCAUCGUUUCUCUUCAUCCACCCGCCCGUCCACCCCUCUCCGCACAAUUCAAUGCGCAUUUCAAUGCGAGCAUCACUAAUUGCAAGCACGUGAGCAUGCCGAUGCUGUAAUUAUGAAAGCACCUGACCAUACCCGCACAGGGCGGCGUUCUGCAAGACCCAGGCUCAUGCGUGUGGCUGAUGUGUUAGUCCUGUGGCUGAUGUGUUAGUCCUGUAGUUGAUGUGUUAGUCCUGUGGCUGAUGUGUUAGUCCUGUGGCUGAUGUGUUAGUCCUGUGGCUGAUGUGUUAGUCCUGUGGCUGAUGUGUUAGUCCUGUGGCUGAUGUGUUAGUCCUGUGGCUGAUGUGUUAGUCCUGUGGCUGAUGUGUUAGUCCUGUGGCUGAUGUGUUAGUCCUGUGGCUGAGGUGUUAGUCCUGUGGCUGAUGUGUUAGCCCUGUGGCUGAUGUGUUAGUCCUGUGGCUGAUGUGUUAGUCCUGUGGCUGAUGUGUUAGUCCUGUGGCUGAUGUGUUAGUCCUGUAGCUGAUGUGUUAGUCCUGUAGCUGAUGUGUUAGUCCUGUAGCUGAUGUGUUAGUCCUGUGGCUGAUGUGUUAGUCCUGUAGCUGAUGUGUUAGUCCUGUGGCUGAUGUGUUAGUCCUGUAGCUGAUGUGUUAGUCCUGUGGCUGAUGUGUUAGUCCUGUAGCUGAUGUGUUAGUCCUGUAGCUGAUGUGUUAGUCCUGUGGCUGAUGUGUUAGUCCUGUAGCUGAUGUGUUAGUCCUGUAGCUGAUGUGUUAGUCCUGUAGCUGAUGUGUUAGUCCUGUGGCUGAUGUGUUAGUCCUGUGGCUGAUGUGUUAGUCCUGUGGCUGAUGUGUUAGUCCUGUGGCUGAUGUGUUAGUCCUGUAGCUGAUGUGUUAGUCCUGUAGCUGAUAUGUUAGUUCUUUAGCUGAUGUGUAGUUGAUGUGUUAGUCCUGUGGCUGAUGUGUUAGUCCUGUGGCUGAUGUGUUAGUCCUGUAGCUGAUGUGUUAGUCCUGUAGCUGAUGUGUUAGUCCAGUAGCUGAUGUGUUAGUCCAGCAGCUGAUGUGUUAGUCCUGUGGCUGAUGUGUUAGUCCUGUAGCUGAUGUGUUAGUCCUGUGGCUGAUGUGUUAGUCCUGUGGCUGAUGUGUUAGUCCUGUGGCUGAUGUGUUAGUCCUGUAGCUGAUGUGUUAGUCCUGUAGCUGAUGUGUUAGUCCUGUAGCUGAUAUGUUAGUUCUUUAGCUGAUGUGUUAGUCCUGUGGCUGAUGUGUUAGUCCUGUAGCUGAUGUGUUAGUGCUGUAGCCCACGGCUACAAAGUGCUCACGUACAAUACAACCCUGUGACACAAUUCUCUUUUAUGCAGCGCCCCGGAAUUAAAAAAAAACACAACUUUAAAAAAAUCUGUUGGCCAAUUAUUUCGGCUGAACAAUAAGCCAACUCAAACACUUAAUAUGUUGUUUUUUUGUAUUUUUUUUAUUUUAAAAGAUUCAAUUAUGCCAGCAUUCCUGAUAUGGUUUGUAAUACAGUUCCAGAAGCAGGCACCAUAAACAAUGAAAGGUGCUUGCCCUUUCCUGAUUGGAGGAAUUGCCAAAUGGUUACCAUUUACCAAGGGGUACGUAUGUACGUAUGUUCAACUUCUUUCGCACCGUGCGUAGCCAACCGAGAUAAUCGGAGGUGCGGGGAAAGGACAACAAACUAAACACAAAAAAGCAAUUCUAAAGAAAUUAGUUCUCAUUCUAGAGUAAUAAAAACGGGGAUAUCUCCAGUGGCUUCAUAAUAUCUGAAGCCACGCAAUUUGGGGGGGACAGCUGUCCGCACGGAUGCAAUUGCAGUCCCGCUCCGCUCUCCUGCCAUGUGUUAGUUAGUCACCGACAAACAGCUGGGCGGCUAGUUGGCCGCUCCGCACACGCUUCCCUGCAAUCCACCAACCCUCGCCAACGCGGCGUCACGGGCGUGCGCCAACACGCUCGGGCCAUAUUGAGGGGGGCAACCGGUGGAGCAAAGAGUGUACAGGGCUCACGGUUUUGACGCAAGAUAAUCUUACCGUGUCGGGUGAGCAUUAAUUUCCCUUAAUUACCGUUACCGCCGCUGUUGAAAUGUCUUAAGUGAGAGUAAUGUGCGCUUUUUUUAUUUUCACGUGGCCUCAUACUUUUUGGCUCUCCUUGGAGGAACACUUCAAUCGUCAAUUUUCAUGACAAAUGAGUCAAAAAGAGUGGUCGGGUAUGGUUGGAGCCGUUACGCAAUGAUGCAGUGCAGGAUAACUCAAUUUGUACGCCUGGUUGCCAGACUAAGAAGUGGGUGGCACGUUUCCGUUGAGUGUUCUCCUGCUGCGAGAAAAGCCACCCUUCACAUUAUGGAAUUAGGCAAUUUGAUGCAGUGAAUGCAUUUCUUUUCCACGUGAGUUUGCAUCGAACCAGACGGCAUAAUUUACAGCUGUCAUUGUCCUCGGAUCACCGCUAAGAUUUACGGACAGUCCUCAACAAUGUGCAUCGUCAUAAUCGUCAGUGGCAUUAUUGUCUGGCUUGCACCACAGCCACAGCAGGUCACAGCUGCAGAUGUAGUAAUCACAAUGCCAUAUUUAUUAGUAACCUAGAAAAGCAUCACUGAGCUUCGUGACUCUGUUUUGAGAGCGUCCAUUUGGAAUGCUCACAGACACAGAACAACCUCUCUGGAAGACGACAUCACAGAACUACUGCUGAGGCCCUUUCCGCCGCAUUAACCUUUCACUCGUGCGCCUCAUUACCGACGCCUCCGCCGACUCACCUGCUGCCCGGGAGCGCGUACCUCGCUCGGGCCGGCCCUGUUGGCCUUGGGGGGCGGUGAGAGGCGGCGUGGUGCCGCUCGCGCCGGGCGAGACAAAUCGGUUAAACGCGGCAGCCCAAACGCGGGGAGGCUCUAAUAAACGUGAUAAAAACGCGCGAUGGUGCUCAGAUCGCGCGAGCACAUGGUCCCGGCGAACGCCGCUGGAGCGGAGGGCGGACGGGCGGGCGGACGACCCCCGGGGUCACGCCUGCGCGUCUCGCGGCCCGCUUCACAAAAGGGGCGCCGCACCAGGCGGGGCGCGGGGCUCCUCCGCUGGGGGUCCCCGGGCGGCGGCGGCGGCGGCGGCCCCCGCGAGAACAGCAGAUGGGCCCGCGCGGCCGGCGCCAACGCCCCUCCCAUUGGCCGAUUCACCAGCGGUCACGGCUGUAGAAUUAACUGAAAUCCCACGCGGCCGCCGGUGCCGACGGGGACUCGGACCCCCCUCCCCCGGGCCCCGCGCGGCGGUGCCGCGGAGACCCUGGCGGGUGCCCUCCUCCCCCUCCUGUGCGGCCGAGCCCGCCGGGGAUUAUGAUAAUAAUGAUGAUGAUGACGAUGCAAUUUGUAGCACGCUCUCGAUUUCCCGUGACACGUACAGCCGUGACUGUGCGGUGCCAAGCUCGGUGAUGGACUUUGUGAAUUUUUACAGGAAAUUAUUACAAAAGGAAAAACAUUUCUUCCGUGAAAAACAAUUCUGCUUCUUAUCUUGACAACGUGUGAAAGCAAGGUCCUGCGGUCAGCACCAACGUUCCGCUUCGAAUUUUCUUUUUUUUACAAUUGUCACAGAGCAGAGCCAAUUCACGGACAGUGUCUUCGUAGCAACAGAAUAACCCCCCCCCAAAUAAUGCACUGGGACCACUCGGGCAACCACGGUGGACUGAGCUCUUAGUUAACGCACUGGUAAAACUUUCCUAUUGAGUUGUAACUGGCUGGGUGAUGGAGUGCGCCAACCACCUUGGCUAUCAUGUGCAGGGGCAAAGCACGAGUCUAGCCCAUCUCACCCUUCCUCGUGAACUCUCCCCAACCUUGGCUGUGCUCACAGAACGCUUCGUCGGACUGGCUUGGUUCGCUUGGCUAUCACGGCCACAGUUUCUUAGCGAUGUUUUUACAUUCAUCCCUUUUUCGCGCAGAUCGUCGCGUAAAGUUCACAUUUGCUCGGACGGGACGCCAGAGCUCGACGUAGCUGAGCAACGUGGCGAGCGAUUAAAAUCUAUUUGCCCGUUGAGCCCUGCUGCGAGAUGCCACGAGCCGGGCGUAUUAGCGGUGCGCGGCUCCUCGAGAGGCUGGGACCAGGGAGCGCUUGGUACCAGGGAGCGCUUGGUUCCAGGGAGCGCUUGGUCCCAGAGAGCGCUUGGUACCAGGGAGCGCUUGGUCCCAGGGAGCGCUUGGUUCCAGGGUGCUCUUGGUCCCAGGGAGCGCUUGGUCCCAGGGUGCUCUUGGUCCCAGGGUGCUCUUGGUCCCAGGGAGCGCUUGGUCCCAGGGAGCGCUUGGUCCCAGGGAGCGCUUGGUACCAGGGAGCGCUUGGUCCCAGGGUGCUCUUGGUACCAGGGAGCGCUUGGUCCCAGGGAGCGCUUGGUCCCAGGGAGCGCUUGGUACCAGGGAGCGCUUGGUACCAGGGUGCUCUUGGUACCAGGGAGCGCUUGGUACCAGGGAGCGCUUGGUUCCAGGGAGCGCUUGGUCCCAGGGAGCGCUUGGUCCCAGGGAGCGCUUGGUUCCAGGGUGCUCUUGGUCCCAGGGAGCACUUGGUCCCAGGGUGCUCUUGGUCCCAGGGUGCUCUUGGUCCCAGGGAGCGCUUGGUCCCAGGGAGCGCUUGGUCCCAGGGAGCGCUUGGUACCAGGGAGCGCUUGGUCCCAGGGUGCUCUUGGUACCAGGGAGCGCUUGGUCCCAGGGAGCGCUUGGUCCCAGGGAGCGCUUGGUACCAGGGAGCGCUUGGUACCAGGGUGCUCUUGGUACCAGGGAGCGCUUGGUACCAGGGAGCGCUUGGUUCCAGGGAGCGCUUGGUCCCAGGGAGCGCUUGGUCCCAGGGAGCGCUUGGUUCCAGGGUGCUCUUGGUCCCAGGGAGCACUUGGUCCCAGGGUGCUCUUGGUCCCAGGGAGCGCUUGGUCCCAGGGAGCGCUUGGUCCCAGGGAGCGCUUGGUACCAGGGAGCGCUUGGUCCCAGGGUGCUCUUGGUACCAGGGAGCGCUUGGUCCCAGGGAGCGCUUGGUCCCAGGGAGCGCUUGGUACCAGGGAGCGCUUGGUACCAGGGUGCUCUUGGUACCAGGGAGCGCUUGGUCCCAGGGAGCGCUUGGUCCCAGGGAGCGCUUGGUCCCAGGGAGCGCUUGGCACGCGCUCGCCAGGACGGCGGCAGCGUAGCGGCCGAGCGGUGCGCACUUUUGCCGCCGAGUCGUCUGGGGAUCGAGUUUGCUCUUGAAUUCCUGGAGCGCAUUCUGUUAUUUUCGUGGGGAAAUUUACAGAAUAAAUAAUUGAUGAGGAUAAUUAAUUGGGUACGUUUGCCGUUUGCGCCACUUGCAGGGCGAUCGUCACGAAGGCGCCAUCGCCGUGGUUUCACAGUAGGGCGGCGAUGGUGCUGUCUGCGAUCCCAAUUGAGUAAUUUGCAGUGUAAUAUUUAAAAUUUGCCAAAUCUGGAUAUCUCUUCAUGUUUUCCAAUCUGCAGCAGAAUAUAUACAGUAUAACACAGUCAUGUAAUAAUAAUAUUUUAAGGAUCAACAGGUUUUUUUUUCAUGAGAAGAACAUCGCUGCAGGAGUACAGGGGUCAUAGGUCGGCGUCUGGAAAAGCCAUUCCCAUCAGAACUCCGCUUCUUUCUUCGGGCAACUCCCGAGUCACGGUCUCGGACUCCUGGGCAAAUUUACUACCUCCGUGGCCACUGCGACCACACCGGGGUUGGGUAGGCAGCAGGGGAGGGAGAGGGUGAGGGGGGGGGCAACUUUUAUUGCACCCCCCCCCCCAUUCCCACCGCAUUUCCGUAACGCCCCACACCUCCAUGCACCAGUCUGUUGGAAAAAUUUGCGUGAUAAACAGCUCGUCUUUGAAACCCAUUAUGCCCUCCCUCCCCCAACCCACGGCCUUUAGUCUGCUCCUUUGUUCAUUUUCGGCAAGGCCUUUACAAUCUGCUUGCCGGUUGAGGCGGCCCCCCUUCUCCGCUCAGUUAUUUAUACGGAUUGCGUUGUGGCUCUGCCGUCCACUCCUAAGCAACUGCACCGAAGCACAAUGGCGGCCUUUGUACGAGCUGAAUUCUCUGGAAUCUGUACCGUUUCGCAAAAGGCCAAGCGUUUGGCCAGCGCUCACGCGCGAAGCACCACUGGAUUGGCCCAGCGGUGAGAUCGUCCGGAGUGAGGUUGGGCACGCGCUUGGGAAUUUUGCAUCCCGCACCGCUGUCCAGCAACAGCGUCCCCGUUAACAAAGUGGCACUGCCCGCUACGAGUUGAGACAUUAAAGAUGAUGUCAUCAACUCGCAGAAGCUGACCUUCAGCAUGACGGUGUCGUCACGAGAAUUGAUGAACUUGUGGGGAGAGUUUUGCGGAUUUGUAUUUUACCAAGCACGGGAAGAAUAUAUGAUUUUUUUUACAAAUAUCACCGGAUGAGCGCUGGAAGGCGGGACGUUGCAGCGACGUGGUUGUGGGCAAAGUGACAGCGUAGCAUUGUGCACUUAGCAGCCAGUGCGCUCGCUCACCGCUCGGCACCUUCGAUCGUUUGAUCAUUCCGCUUGAGCUGAAGAGCAACCUGCAUUAGCGCCGCACGCCUUGGCGCUUCUCAAGAGGCCGGCAUCUGCAAGGCGAUUGGAGUGAGCAACUUUCAGCAGCACCACGUGGAAGAGCUGCAGGAAGACUGCGACGUCACCCCACACGUGAACCAGGU
This is a non-coding RNA of Petromyzon marinus (sea lamprey), 7412 nucleotides long. Lineage: Eukaryota; Metazoa; Chordata; Hyperoartia; Petromyzontiformes; Petromyzontidae. The record is from RefSeq and is a predicted model, not a curated record.